ACACGACUACAUUAGAUACCCGUGUAGUCCCAGCCCUAAACGAUGCGCGUUAGGUGUAUCGGUGACCACGAGUCACCGAGGUGCUGUAGGGUAGCCGUUAAACUCGCUGCCUGGGAGUACGGUCGCAAGGCUGAAACUUAAAGGAAUUGGCGGGGAGCACCACAAGAGGUGGAGGCUGCGGUUCAAUUGGACUCAACGCCGGAAAACUCAUCGGGAGCGACAGCAGUAUGAUUGCCAGGUUGAUGACCUUGCUUGACAAGCUG
RNAcentral lists this ribosomal RNA (263 nucleotides) under uncultured archaeon. Its description in RNAcentral is "partial 16S ribosomal RNA". It matches the Rfam family "Archaeal small subunit ribosomal RNA", at positions 719 to 982 of the family's 1478-position model. The record is from RNAcentral.